RNAcentral lists this ribosomal RNA (425 nucleotides) under uncultured bacterium. Its description in RNAcentral is "partial 16S ribosomal RNA". It matches the Rfam family "Bacterial small subunit ribosomal RNA", at positions 354 to 796 of the family's 1533-position model. The record is from RNAcentral.
GUGGGGAAUCUUGCGCAAUGGGCGAAAGCCUGACGCAGCCAUGCCGCGUGAAUGAUGAAGGUCUUAGGAUUGUAAAAUUCUUUCACCGGGGACGAUAAUGACGGUACCCGGAGAAGAAGCUCCGGCUAACUUCGUGCCAGCAGCCGCGGUAAUACGAAGGGGGCUAGCGUUGCUCGGAAUUACUGGGCGUAAAGGGCGCGUAGGCGGACAGCUUAGUCAGAGGUGAAAGCCCAGGGCUCAACCUUGGAAUUGCCUUUGAUACUGGCUGUCUUGAGUUUGGGAGAGGUGAGUGGAACUCCGAGUGUAGAGGUGAAAUUCGUAGAUAUUCGGAAGAACACCAGUGGCGAAGGGGACUCACUGGCCCAAUACUGACGCUGAGGCGCGAAAGCGUGGGGAGCAAACAGGAUUAGAAACCCGGGUAGUCC